UACGAAGGGUGCAAGCGUUAAUCGGAAUUACUGGGCGUAAAGGGUGCGUAGGCGGUUGUUUAAGUCUGUCGUGAAAUCCCCGGGCUUAACCUGGGAACUGCAUUUGUGACUGCAUCGCUGGAGUGCGGCAGAGGGGGAUGGAAUUCCGCGUGUAGCAGUGAAAUGCGUAGAUAUGCGGAGGAACACCGAUGGCGAAGGCGGGUCUCUGGGCAGUAACUGACGCUGAGGAGCGAAAGCGUGGGGAGCGAACAGG
Molecule: ribosomal RNA, 253 nt
Filed under: uncultured bacterium
Lineage: Bacteria
Description: partial 16S ribosomal RNA
Rfam family: Bacterial small subunit ribosomal RNA
Source: RNAcentral